AUUGAACGCUGGCGGCAGGCUUAACACAUGCAAGUCGAGCGGGGGAAGGUAGCUUGCUACCGGACCUAGCGGCGGACGGGUGAGUAAUGCUUAGGAAUCUGCCUAUUAGUGGGGGACAACAUCUCGAAAGGGAUGCUAAUACCGCAUACGUCCUACGGGAGAAAGCAGGGGAUCUUCGGACCUUGAGCUAAUAGAUGAGCCUAAGUCGGAUUAGCUAGUUGGUGGGGUAAAGGCCUACCAAGGCGACGAUCUGUAGCGGGUCUGAGAGGAUGAGCCGCCACACUGGGACUGAGACACGGCCCAGACUCCUACGGGAGGCAGCAGUGGGGAAUAUUGGACAAUGGGGGGAACCCUGAUCCAGCCAUGCCGCGUGUGUGAAGAAGGCCUUAUGGUUGUAAAGCACUUUAAGCGAGGAGGAGGCUACUUUAGUUAAUACCUAGAGAUAGUGGACGUUACUCGCAGAAUAAGCACCGGCUAACUCUGUGCCAGCCGCCGCAGUAA
Molecule: ribosomal RNA, 501 nt
Filed under: uncultured bacterium
Lineage: Bacteria
Description: partial 16S ribosomal RNA
Rfam family: Bacterial small subunit ribosomal RNA
Source: RNAcentral